Long non-coding RNA from Carya illinoinensis, 1862 nucleotides. RefSeq lists it as uncharacterized. Lineage: Eukaryota; Viridiplantae; Streptophyta; Magnoliopsida; Fagales; Juglandaceae. The record is from RefSeq and is a predicted model, not a curated record. The transcript has 3 exons.
UUAGUAAAAUAUUCUGAGCUGUAUCAAAGGUAGCAUGGUGUUCAUUUGGAAGCUGUGACCUCUAUCAGAACCAUUGUGGAGCUCAUCCUAAUGCACUCGAGCUUUGAUCAUCAUGCUUUAAUACCCUAUGCUGCACAUUGCCCUGCGAAUCCCUGGCCCUAACCUGCCCACUCCUAGCAUAAUCUUGACCCUGACCUAGCCGAAUCUCUGGCCCUAAACCGAAGCCUGUGUUGUGCAGCCUUCAGACCAAGAGAAGUAACCUCUGCAUACACAACUGGGUUCGUGUGGUUUGCAAUAGUCGAUUCGGCAGUCUCAUGUAUUGAGCUGGGUUGUCUCUGAUAGAGCAAAAUGGCCUAUACAGUCACAGUGCCCAACACGACGGAAGACACCCCCAUGAAGCUCUGCAAGCCUCGCUCCACUAUCCCCAAAUCUCGCAAUAAACGCCGUAUCCUUCAUACCUCGACCACCAUGGGUCCUAAGACACGGUCCUACCAGUGUUACUACUUACGCUAAUCAUCAUCUUCAUCAUCUCGACAGGUAUGACAUCCUCAUAUUUCAGUACUUAUAUUUUUCUACGUCAAAUUGGACAUUAUUUAUUCCUUACCUUAUAUAUUCAUGUCAAUGUGUCUUGACAAUAAAGUUGAGUUGUUAUUUGCCAUAUCUGCUAUAUCAUGCAAAUGCAUGUGGAAUUUGGUUCACAUUUCAAACAUAUCGUUUGGUUUCAAAAUUUGUCCUUGUCAUUUGAGCAUAUAUUAGAGGUAUAUGGAUGAACCAAUCGAGUUGAUUUGUUAUUGUGGAGUGAUGGAUUGGAGGAUAUCUUGAUUGAGAUAUUGUACCAAGAAAUGUUAAUGGAUAAACUGAGGGGAGGGAAUAUCACAAAAGGACACCAUGUGAGGCUUGCUGAACGACUAUAUGAGAUUGGGCCAAAGAAAUUCAAUUCCAAUCAAGUUAAGAGAAGACAACGGGAAUUUAUGGAUCUUAUGAAGCAAACCGGUUUGCUGUAGAACCCAGAGAGGAAGGCCCUAGUUGCCAGCAACGAACACUAGGUGAAUGCAUGGAAGACACUGCAUUGGGCAUUGAUGGACCCGGCCCCAAAUAAUGACGAUGAGUGGAUGCUUGAGGACAUUUGAAACCAUGGCCAACCGAUGGCUGAUCAUGAAGGGGGCCCAUCGGGAGCAGCUGGCAUGGAUGUAUCCAUGCAAUCAGGGAGACCCUUCUCCGCCUCCUAUGUAGCGGAUCUCACUGACGAUAGAGGGGAGGGCCUUCCUAGCCCAUGCCCCUUCAAGAGCAAUUUAGCGAAUGCCUUGAGGAAAUUAAGCGUAAUGCUGCUACCAGGCGAAAGGCUACUAAGGAGGGGAGCUGUGGGAACAUGUUCAGGAAGUACAAUAAAGGGUCGAAUAGCAUGGAGUCUGAUGGAGUGUUUGAUCUCCAGGUGCAUUGUAUGAAGUUUCUAAAAGCAAUAGAGCCUCCCUUGCCUCCUGAGCAAUUUAACAAGGCCUUCGACCAAUUACUUGAUCCAGAAGUGCAGAGAUUGUUCGUGUGAAUUUUUGAUUUUCACAGGGGUUAGUGGGCUUGGAGUUUUACCUGAGUAGGCAUUGAUGAGGAUAUUACGGGUGGACUGUUGGAUGGGUAUUUUAUGUUUAUCAGUUUGACUGAUAAUCAUGUAUCUGACCUUAGAUUUUAUGUUAUUUAUGCUUGUUUUAAUUAUUUAUGUUGAACAUGUGAGUUAAGUAUCUACUGGUACGUUGAAUGACUUUGUUGGUAUUUUUUUUUAACAUUUAUGUAGUGGCUAAUUAAUCGGUGACAUUAUGAACAUUUAUGCAGCGGCUAAUUAAUGCUAUGAUCACAUUUUAUUGAGCAUA